This 1424-nucleotide ribosomal RNA is filed under the name Klebsiella variicola. RNAcentral describes it as "bacterial SSU rRNA". It matches the Rfam family "Bacterial small subunit ribosomal RNA". Lineage: Bacteria; Pseudomonadati; Pseudomonadota; Gammaproteobacteria; Enterobacterales; Enterobacteriaceae. The record is from RNAcentral.
GCCUAACACAUGCAAGUCGAGCGGUAGCACAGAGAGCUUGCUCUCGGGUGACGAGCGGCGGACGGGUGAGUAAUGUCUGGGAAACUGCCUGAUGGAGGGGGAUAACUACUGGAAACGGUAGCUAAUACCGCAUAACGUCGCAAGACCAAAGUGGGGGACCUUCGGGCCUCAUGCCAUCAGAUGUGCCCAGAUGGGAUUAGCUAGUAGGUGGGGUAACGGCUCACCUAGGCGACGAUCCCUAGCUGGUCUGAGAGGAUGACCAGCCACACUGGAACUGAGACACGGUCCAGACUCCUACGGGAGGCAGCAGUGGGGAAUAUUGCACAAUGGGCGCAAGCCUGAUGCAGCCAUGCCGCGUGUGUGAAGAAGGCCUUCGGGUUGUAAAGCACUUUCAGCGGGGAGGAAGGCGGUGAGGUUAAUAACCUCACCGAUUGACGUUACCCGCAGAAGAAGCACCGGCUAACUCCGUGCCAGCAGCCGCGGUAAUACGGAGGGUGCAAGCGUUAAUCGGAAUUACUGGGCGUAAAGCGCACGCAGGCGGUCUGUCAAGUCGGAUGUGAAAUCCCCGGGCUCAACCUGGGAACUGCAUUCGAAACUGGCAGGCUAGAGUCUUGUAGAGGGGGGUAGAAUUCCAGGUGUAGCGGUGAAAUGCGUAGAGAUCUGGAGGAAUACCGGUGGCGAAGGCGGCCCCCUGGACAAAGACUGACGCUCAGGUGCGAAAGCGUGGGGAGCAAACAGGAUUAGAUACCCUGGUAGUCCACGCUGUAAACGAUGUCGAUUUGGAGGUUGUGCCCUUGAGGCGUGGCUUCCGGAGCUAACGCGUUAAAUCGACCGCCUGGGGAGUACGGCCGCAAGGUUAAAACUCAAAUGAAUUGACGGGGGCCCGCACAAGCGGUGGAGCAUGUGGUUUAAUUCGAUGCAACGCGAAGAACCUUACCUGGUCUUGACAUCCACAGAACUUUCCAGAGAUGGAUUGGUGCCUUCGGGAACUGUGAGACAGGUGCUGCAUGGCUGUCGUCAGCUCGUGUUGUGAAAUGUUGGGUUAAGUCCCGCAACGAGCGCAACCCUUAUCCUUUGUUGCCAGCGGUUAGGCCGGGAACUCAAAGGAGACUGCCAGUGAUAAACUGGAGGAAGGUGGGGAUGACGUCAAGUCAUCAUGGCCCUUACGACCAGGGCUACACACGUGCUACAAUGGCAUAUACAAAGAGAAGCGACCUCGCGAGAGCAAGCGGACCUCAUAAAGUAUGUCGUAGUCCGGAUUGGAGUCUGCAACUCGACUCCAUGAAGUCGGAAUCGCUAGUAAUCGUAGAUCAGAAUGCUACGGUGAAUACGUUCCCGGGCCUUGUACACACCGCCCGUCACACCAUGGGAGUGGGUUGCAAAAGAAGUAGGUAGCUUAACCUUCGGGAGGGCGCUUACCACUU